UUUUUAGGCGGCUCGAAUGGGAGGGCUCGCGCCCUGCCGGUUUUCGCAAGAUGUCCCGGUACGCCAACCCGUUCGAGCUGCCGCCCCC
RNAcentral lists this non-coding RNA (88 nucleotides) under Variovorax sp. 770b2. Lineage: Bacteria; Pseudomonadati; Pseudomonadota; Betaproteobacteria; Burkholderiales; Comamonadaceae. The record is from RNAcentral.